CCCUACAAACCACCCUGAACGUGCCUUAUCUCGUCUGAUCUCGGAAGCUAAGCAGGGUCUGGCCUGGUUAGUACAAAAAAUAAGAUAUUAAAUAAUAUCCUGACUUAGAAAGUUAGUCUGUUGAGU
RNAcentral lists this ribosomal RNA (126 nucleotides) under Sorex araneus (European shrew). Lineage: Eukaryota; Metazoa; Chordata; Mammalia; Eulipotyphla; Soricidae. The record is from RNAcentral.